AUUUUCUAUCCAGGUAGGGCUUUGUGGUGUUCUUUCAGGGGAGCGAGCAGAGGAAACUGUGCUCAUCCUCAUGUUUUUGCCUGAGGUAAUCAGCUCGCCGUAGCCUUGUUGGUGAGAGAAGGCAUACGCAGAGCGGCGGGAGCUCGUCCUGCGUACUCGCCUCAGGUUCUGCUCCUGAGGUCCUUGUCUCUUCCUUGACUGUUGGAGAUGACGAACCUGUCAAAAUACAGCAAUGGAGGAAGAAUUGGAAAGAGGUCUACUCUCAGGAAGCUGACUGCUAAGCCGGGCACAACACACACCACAGCGGUGAGCAGAAUGACCAACCACACACUCUUCUCUGAUAGACAGUUACGUGCCGUGCCUGAGGAGGACACACAUGGUAUUUAUAUUUAAUUUCCAUGCAUCAGUAUUAUUUCUUCAUGUAUCCAACUGAACUAAACUUACCUAUGAACGGGAAAUUACUUGGAAAGAUGCCAAAUAUGCCAUUACUUUGCAUUGCAAAUAAUGUGGCAAAGUACACUGUCAGGCUCCCCCAUAUGAACAAGUGAUUGACAGCUGUCCAGUAGUGUGUGUCAAGUCCAAUCUAGGAGCAGAUACAUGCAUCAUAAACAUGUGUUUAUUUUUUUAAACAAUGGCUAUUUUUGUCUGUUUGAACUCUUACCUGAACACUUACGAUGAUGACCAAGGAUGUUGCUAUGGUAACAGCAAAUGAUUGUUGGUCAGAAAAGUGGGAGCCAUCCUCUUUCACAAUGACAGUGAAGGCUCCGUAGGGAAU
Long non-coding RNA from Sander lucioperca (pikeperch), 775 nucleotides. RefSeq lists it as uncharacterized. The record is from RefSeq and is a predicted model, not a curated record. Lineage: Eukaryota; Metazoa; Chordata; Actinopteri; Perciformes; Percidae. The transcript is spliced from 2 exons.